GACGAACGCUGGCGGCGUGCUUAACACAUGCAAGUCGAGCGAUGAAGUUCCCUCGGGAAUGGAUUAGCGGCGGACGGGUGAGUAACACGUGGGUAACCUGCCUCAUAGAGGGGAAUAGCCUUUCGAAAGGAAGAUUAAUACCGCAUAAUAUUCAAGGAUCACAUGAUCUUUGAGCCAAAGGAUUUAUUCGCUGUAAGAUGGACCCGCGGCGCAUUAGCUUGUUGGUGAGGUAACGGCUCACCAAGGCUUCGAUGCGUAGCCGACCUGAGAGGGUGAUCGGCCACAUUGGAACUGAGACACGGUCCAGACUCUUACGGGAGGCAGCAGUGGGGAAUAUUGCACAAUGGAGGAAACUCUGAUGCAGCAACGCCGCGUGAGUGAUGAAGGUCUUCGGAUCGUAAAACUCUGUCUUAUGGGACGAUAAUGACGGUACCAUAGGAGGAAGCCACGGCUAACUACGUGCCAGCAGCCGCGGUAAUACGUAGGUGGCAAGCGUUGUCCGGAUUUACUGGGCGUAAAGGAUGUGUAGGCGGAUAUUUAAGUGAGAUGUGAAAUCCCCGGGCUUAACUUGGGGGCUGCAUUUCAAACUGGAUGUCUAGAGUGCAGGAGAGGAAAGCAGAAUUCCUAGUGUAGCGGUGAAAUGCGUAGAGAUUAGGAAGAAUACCGGUGGCGA
Molecule: ribosomal RNA, 673 nt
Filed under: uncultured bacterium
Lineage: Bacteria
Description: bacterial SSU rRNA
Rfam family: Bacterial small subunit ribosomal RNA
Source: RNAcentral